GGCCCGGUGGCAGAGUGGCCAUGCAGAGGACUGCAAAUCCUCGUACGUCGGUUCGAUUCCGGCCCGGGCCUCCA
RNAcentral lists this transfer RNA (74 nucleotides) under Rhodospirillum sp. RNAcentral describes it as "tRNA-Cys". It matches the Rfam family "tRNA". From Rfam's summary of the family: Transfer RNA (tRNA) molecules are approximately 80 nucleotides in length. Their secondary structure includes four short double-helical elements and three loops (D, anti-codon, and T loops). Further hydrogen bonds mediate the characteristic L-shaped molecular structure. tRNAs have two regions of fundamental functional importance: the anti-codon, which is responsible for specific mRNA codon recognition, and the 3' end, to which the tRNAs corresponding amino acid is attached (by aminoacyl-tRNA synthetases). tRNAs cope with the degeneracy of the genetic code in two manners: having more than one tRNA (with a specific anti-codon) for a particular amino acid; and 'wobble' base-pairing, i.e. permitting non-standard base-pairing at the 3rd anti-codon position. The record is from RNAcentral. RNAcentral also lists the same sequence under 17 other names. Lineage: Bacteria; Pseudomonadati; Pseudomonadota; Alphaproteobacteria; Rhodospirillales; Rhodospirillaceae.